GGCAAAUCCUAGUCUAGUAUUUUCAACCAUUUUUGACAGAUGGAAGAACCACAAGAAUCCAGCCUGAACGAAGAGGUGCAUCCAAGUCUCACGAAAAUCAUUCAUGAACAGAUGGAUUUGAAGAGAAUAGCAGAUAUUGCAAUGGACCUUUAUGCCAUGACAGCAUGCAUUGGAAGGUCAUCUCGGUUGUAUUGCAUUGGCUUAAGAAAUGCAGAUCACGAGGUUAAUUAAACAUAAUUAUAGGUAAUGGAAAUACAUCUUAGACCUGUAAUCUAGUCUCCAUCAUAUAACAUUGCACACAUACAAUAUUAAUAAAUUAUAUACCGAUUUGUAUUUCAACUGGGUGGAGGACAAUGCAUAAUCCUUUCUUAGUAAACUUUGUGUGAAUUAAUUAUCAGUGGAUACUGCCAAUUGUCUUGAUGCAGCAAUGCAUCACCG
Gigantopelta aegis is the source of this 438-nucleotide long non-coding RNA. RefSeq lists it as uncharacterized. Lineage: Eukaryota; Metazoa; Mollusca; Gastropoda; Neomphalida; Peltospiridae. The record is from RefSeq and is a predicted model, not a curated record. The transcript has 2 exons.